AUUAAAUGUUUCGCCCAGUCGCCACUCGUGUAUCGUCAACGAAACAAGACACACGUUUAUUACCAUUUAGCUUAUUUUAUUAACUCAAAAUAUUAUUUGUGACCAGUGAAUUGUUUAUCAGCCGUACCGCGUACUAAAUAUCUUUAAAAUGGGAGGGUUCGCAUGGGUAACACUCGUUACCAAUGAUUCGUAUUCCCUUGGAGCUCUUGUUCUAGCCCAUGCAUUGAGACGAGUCAGGACUAAACAUGAUCUCGCUGUUCUUAUCACUCCAGGUGUCACAGCUGCUAUGAGGGAAAAAUUGUCGGCAGUUUUUUCAUUAGUAAAAGAAGUAAAUGUUCUUGAUUCUCAAGACGAAGCAAACUUGGCACUUCUAGCGAGACCGGAAUUGGGAAUAACAUUUACCAAGUUACACUGUUGGAGAUUGACACAGUACGAAAAAUGUGUCUUUAUUGAUGCUGAUGCACUUGUGAUCCGUAACUGUGAUGAGCUUUUCGAGCGCGAAGAAUUAUCAGCAGCUCCAGAUGUGGGCUGGCCUGAUUGUUUCAACUCCGGUGUUUUUGUGUUCAAACCUUCACAACAAACAUUCGCAUCAUUAACAGCUUUUGCGACUUCAAAAGGUUCAUUUGAUGGUGGCGACCAGGGUCUGUUGAAUCUUUACUUCAGUGACUGGGCACAUAAAGAUAUUUCUAAACACUUACCUUUUAUCUACAACAUGUGCUCUACUGCUUCUUACUCUUAUCUGCCGGCAUACAAACAAUUUGGAUCAGAAAUAAGAAUAAUUCAUUUCAUCGGUAGCACCAAACCGUGGUUGCAAUAUUUUGACACUCAAACAUCACUAGUCCACCCUUCUUCGGAUUCUCAACAUCUCCAGUCCCUUCUUCAGCUCUGGUGGAACAUCUUUUGCGAAGAUGUACAUCCACAAUUGUCACCAGUCAUGCUAAGCAAUGAACACGGGGAUCCGCAUCUUAGCGAGAUCACCAGCACUUUGGCACGACGUGAGCACAAUUUAUAUGUUCCCAUUUCUCCACCAUCUAGAAAUACCAUAUCUUCAACAUCAAUUCACUAUGAAUAUCACACGUCGACAGACUCAACAUACGACAAAGUUGACAAAAUUUUUGACACGGGCUUUUAUGAAUUCAAAGAUCCCUGGGAUAGUUACGUAGAACCGACUGUAACUAGUAAUAGUAAUUAUUCUCUAAAUCACCCUUCCGAUAUUAAUCUCAAUACUAAUUCAAAUGACUCUGUUUUUGUUUGUGAGCAAAAUCAUGAAGAAUUUGAUAAAGAAUCGACGGAAAUUCCGCUUGAAAAUGGAACAAAUUUUCCAGUUUCGAUGGAUAGGUUCUGCGACACUGUAGAAAUUUCUAAUAAAACUAAUAAUAAUAAUAAUUAUAAUAAUAACAGUAAUAAUGAAAAUACUAGUAUUGAAAAAAAUUACACGAUUGACAUAAAAAAUUUUAAUUGUUAUCAAAUUAUCGAUGAAAUUUUACGUACUGACAAUUUUGAUAAAAAAACGGAACUAUCGAUAAUUAACGACAACGAACAAGUGCAAUUAGCGUUAAAUAAUUCAAAUAAUAGCUCACCGGAUCAAACAAAGUGUAAUAUAAAUUUUAAUCGUGAAGAUCAGCCAAAUGUUGUAGAUAAAACAGAAAAUUUAGUUUUCCUACCGACUGAAGAUAACAAAUUUAACGGUCACGAUCGUGCUUAUAAAAAUAAUGUGAACAGUAAACCCCUUCCUGAAUCCUAUGCAGAAUGUAAAAAUAAUGAAAAUGAGUCUCAGAUACAUUGCACUGUUGAAGUAGAAUCUGAAUGUGCUGGCAUUGCUGGAGCGCUGGCUAAAAUAACUUUAGGUGAAGCUAGGAGCCCGGAACAAGUUGCGUUGGAAGAACAUAUGAGGAGACAAAGCUGGGAACAAGGACAAAUAGACUACAUGGGACGAGACAGUUUUGAUAAUAUUUGGAAGAAAAUAUGCACAACACUUUCUAUUGUGCCUGAAACACAAGAAAGCACACCGAAAGAAACUAUUGUUGCUGAUGUAAAAGAAAAAGUUUCUAAAUCUCCAGUUGUUACAAAAACUCCGUUGACGGAAGACGAACCGGGAACGGAGGAGAGCGACUAACAGACUAUGGCGCCAUAAUAUUGCUACAUCUUGUAUUAUCGUUUUGCUUUACUGGGCAAAAGAAGUUAGCCAAGAUGUAGCAGCGGAAUGUCAUCUAAAAAAGAGCCCAGAAGAAAGCAAAAAGUCAUCCGAAAAAAGUAUCCAAGAAAUAUCAUCU
This 2273-nucleotide unclassified non-coding RNA is filed under the name Cotesia glomerata. RNAcentral's name for it is "glycogenin-2, transcript variant X6". The record is from RNAcentral. Lineage: Eukaryota; Metazoa; Arthropoda; Insecta; Hymenoptera; Braconidae.